AAAAUUUAAAUUUAUAAUACUAAAAUAGUAAAUAAAUAUUUAUUGAAACUUAAAUAAUUUGGCGGUAUUUUAGUUCAUUUAGAGGAAUCUGUUUAAUAAUUGAUAUUCCACGAAUAAAUUUACUUAAUUUAUAAUUUUGUAUAUCGUUGUUAGAAAAAUAUUUUUUAAUAAUAAUUAAUAUUUUAAAAUUAAUAUGUUAAUUUAAAUCAGAUCAAGAUGCAGAUUAUAAUUAAGAAUAUAAUGGAUUACAAUAAAUUUAUUUAAAUGAAUUUUAAUUUGUAAAAUUAAAUGAAAGUGGAUUUAAAUGUAAUUUUAUUUAAUUUAAUAAAAUGAUUAAAAAUUAAAAUAUGU
Molecule: ribosomal RNA, 351 nt
Filed under: Acrapex sp. ACKEG7227
Lineage: Eukaryota; Metazoa; Arthropoda; Insecta; Lepidoptera; Noctuidae
Description: partial 12S small subunit ribosomal RNA
Source: RNAcentral